RNAcentral lists this ribosomal RNA (268 nucleotides) under uncultured archaeon. Its description in RNAcentral is "partial 16S ribosomal RNA". It matches the Rfam family "Archaeal small subunit ribosomal RNA", at positions 716 to 982 of the family's 1478-position model. The record is from RNAcentral.
ACAGUCACACAUUAGACUACCCCGUAGUCCUGGACCGUAAACGAUGUGGACUUGGUGUUGGAAUGGCUCCGAGCUGCUCCAGUGCCGAAGGGAAGCUGUUAAGUCCACCGCCUGGGAAGUACGGUCGCAAAGACUGAAAACUUAAAGGAAUUGGCGGGGGAGCACCACAACGCGUGGAGCCUGCGGUUUAAUUGGAUUCAACGCCGGACAUCUCGCCAGGGGCGACAGCAGAAUGAUGGCCAGGUUGAUGACCUUGCUUGACAAGCUG